Molecule: ribosomal RNA, 423 nt
Filed under: uncultured Anaerotruncus sp.
Lineage: Bacteria; Bacillati; Bacillota; Clostridia; Eubacteriales; Oscillospiraceae
Description: bacterial SSU rRNA
Rfam family: Bacterial small subunit ribosomal RNA
Source: RNAcentral
UGGGGGGAUAUUGCGGCAAUGGGCGAAAGCCUGAUGCAGCGACGCCGCGUGAGGGAAGACGGUCUUCGGAUUGUAAACCUCUGUCUUUGGGGAAGAAAAUGACGGUACCCAAAGAGGAAGCUCCGGCUAACUACGUGCCAGCAGCCGCGGUAAUACGUAGGGAGCAAGCGUUGUCCGGAAUUACUGGGUGUAAAGGGAGCGUAGGCGGGAUGGCAAGUAGAAUGUUAAAUCCAUCGGCUCAACCGGUGGCUGCGUUCUAAACUGCCGUUCUUGAGUGAAGUAGAGGCAGGCGGAAUUCCUAGUGUAGCGGUGAAAUGCGUAGAUAUUAGGAGGAGCACCAGUGGCGAAGGCGGCCUGCUGGGCUUUAACUGACGCUGAGGCUCGAAAGCGUGGGGAGCAAACAGGAUUAGAUACCCUGGUAGU